This 499-nucleotide ribosomal RNA is filed under the name uncultured bacterium. RNAcentral describes it as "partial 16S ribosomal RNA". It matches the Rfam family "Bacterial small subunit ribosomal RNA", at positions 28 to 507 of the family's 1533-position model. The record is from RNAcentral.
GACGAACGCUGGCGGCGUGCUUAACACAUGCAAGUCUAACGGGCCUGUCUUCUUUUUUGGGGGUGGGUUGCGUGGCGAACGGGUGUGUAUCACGUGAGUAACCUGCCCUUCGGUCCUGGAUAACCUCUUGAAUGGGCGCCUAAUACGGGGUGGUCCGGUUGGUCCGCAUUGGCUGGUCGGGCUUGAUUCACUGUUUUUGGUGUUUCGGCGGGGGAUGGGCUCGCGGCCUAUCAGCUUGUUGGUGGGGUGAUGGCCUACCAAGGCGGUGACGGGUAGACGGCCGAAGAGGGGGGGCGGCGAGACGGGGACUGAGAUGCGGCCCAGACUCCUGCGGGAGGAAGCAGUGGGGGGUAUUGCACAAUGGGCGGAAGCCUGAUGCAGCGACGUCGCGUGAGGGAGGGAGGCCUUCGGGUUGUGAACCUCUGUUUCCGGUGGUGAAGGCCCUGUCCGUGUGGUGGGGUUGACGGUAGCCGGGGAUGAAGCGCCGGCUAACUACGUG